GGCGAACGCUGGCGGUGUGCUUAACACAUGCAAGUCGAACGGUAAGGCCCUUUCGGGGGUACACGAGUGGCGAACGGGUGAGUAACACGUGAGUAACCUGCCCUCAUCUCUGGGAUAACAGUCGGAAACGGUUGCUAAUACUGGAUAUGAGCCUGCAAGGCAUCUUGUGGGUUGGAAAGAUUUUUUGGUUGGGGAUGGACUCGCGGCCUAUCAGCUUGUUGGUGAGGUAGUGGCUCACCAAGGCUUCGACGGGUAGCCGGCCUGAGAGGGCGACCGGCCACAUUGGGACUGAGAUACGGCCCAAACUCCUACGGGAGGCAGCAGUGGGGAAUAUUGCACAAUGGACGGAAGUCUGAUGCAGCAACGCCGCGUGCGGGAUGACGGCCUUCGGGUUGUAAACCGCUUUCAAUUGUGACGAAGCUUUUUGUGACGGUAGCAGUAGAAGAAGCACCGGCUAACUACGUG
Molecule: ribosomal RNA, 465 nt
Filed under: uncultured bacterium
Lineage: Bacteria
Description: partial 16S ribosomal RNA
Rfam family: Bacterial small subunit ribosomal RNA
Source: RNAcentral